RNAcentral lists this ribosomal RNA (301 nucleotides) under uncultured bacterium. RNAcentral's name for it is "partial 16S ribosomal RNA". It matches the Rfam family "Bacterial small subunit ribosomal RNA", at positions 509 to 807 of the family's 1533-position model. The record is from RNAcentral.
CAGCCGCCACGGUAAUACGUAGGGUGCGAGCGUUAAUCGGAAUUACUGGGCGUAAAGCGUGCGCAGGCGGUUUUGUAAGACAGGCGUGAAAUCCCCGGGCUCAACCUGGGAAUGGCGCUUGUGACUGCAAAGCUAGAGUGCGGCAGAGGGGGAUGGAAUUCCGCGUGUAGCAGUGAAAUGCGUAGAUAUGCGGAGGAACACCGAUGGCGAAGGCAAUCCCCUGGGCCUGCACUGACGCUCAUGCACGAAAGCGUGGGGAGCAAGCAGGAUUAGAUACCCCGGUAGUCCCUGUCUCUUAUAC